RNAcentral lists this small nuclear RNA (150 nucleotides) under Kwoniella heveanensis BCC8398. RNAcentral's name for it is "U2 spliceosomal RNA". It matches the Rfam family "U2 spliceosomal RNA". Rfam says of the family: U2 is a small nuclear RNA (snRNA) component of the spliceosome (involved in pre-mRNA splicing). Complementary binding between U2 snRNA (in an area lying towards the 5' end but 3' to hairpin I) and the branchpoint sequence (BPS) of the intron results the bulging out of an unpaired adenosine, on the BPS, which initiates a nucleophilic attack at the intronic 5' splice site, thus starting the first of two transesterification reactions that mediate splicing. The record is from Rfam by way of RNAcentral. Lineage: Eukaryota; Fungi; Basidiomycota; Tremellomycetes; Tremellales; Cryptococcaceae.
AUCCUCUCUGGCCUCUUUUGGCUAAGAUCAUGUGUAGGUAAUCGAUUAUGUUUCAAACUAUUUCUUCCGCCUGCUUAACCUCUACGGCUUGCGGCACGUUAUAGCACGAUGUCGCUGCCGCCGCACUACAGGCUUCUGAUGUCAAGGCUG